This 497-nucleotide ribosomal RNA is filed under the name uncultured bacterium. RNAcentral describes it as "partial 16S ribosomal RNA". It matches the Rfam family "Bacterial small subunit ribosomal RNA", at positions 28 to 507 of the family's 1533-position model. The record is from RNAcentral.
GAUGAACGCUGGCGGCGUGCCUAAUACAUGCAAGUCGAGCGAACGGACGAGAAGCUUGCUUCUCUGAUGUUAGCGGCGGACGGGUGAGUAACACGUGGAUAACCUACCUAUAAAACUGGGAUAACUUCGGGAAACCGGAGCUAUUACCGGAUAAUAUUUUGAACCGCAUGGUUCAAAAGUGAAAGACGGUCUUGCUGUCACUUAUAGAUGGAUCCGCGCUGCAUUAGCUAGUUGGUAAGGUAACGGCUUACCAAGGCAACGAUGCAUAGCCGACCUGAGAGGGUGAUCGGCCACACUGGAACUGAGACACGGUCCAGACUCCUACGGGAGGCAGCAGUAGGGAAUCUUCCGCAAUGGGCGAAAGCCUGACGGAGCAACGCCGCGUGAGUGAUGAAGGUCUUCGGAUCGUAAAACUCUGUUAUUAGGGAAGAACAUAUGUGAAAGUACCUGUGCACAUCUUGACGGUACCUAAUCAGAAAGCCACGGCUAACUACGUG